Molecule: long non-coding RNA, 1387 nt
Organism: Oncorhynchus tshawytscha (Chinook salmon)
Lineage: Eukaryota; Metazoa; Chordata; Actinopteri; Salmoniformes; Salmonidae
Source: Ensembl
ACCAAUGUGCUACAGUUCUAACAAUAGAAUCACCCCGGGACUGAAGGGAUUGUCUUAAGACCAAUGUGACUGUCUCAGAGUUAAGAUAAAAAUAACACAUAAAACAAGGCAUUCAAAAGGGCUAGCAGCAGCUGCCAUGGUUUAAUAGUUAAAAAGACCAAACCCUUGAGAAAGGCCCUGUGCAGUGGGUGAUAUAAAAAACAUUUCAUAAGAGGUUUAUAUUAUUGAAACCAAAACAGUAUACAAUGUAGUCUAUUCUCAUCCCUACCCUCAAUAACUCCCUAAUGGCCCAUGUGGCCCUGGUCAAACGUAGUGCAUUAUAUAGGGAAUAUGGUCCCAUUUGGGACUCAGCCCUUAUGAAUGGCUCAGUGUCGUGUAGAGCAGGUUGCCCAGGUCAGUAGCCUCCUGGGAGAAUGGUGAUUGAUUACAUGACUUUGUUCCACCUGGUAAAUCUCUUCAAUGGAUCCCUGCAUCCCAUCUCUGCAUCUAAUCAAUACAUUCAUACGUAUGACUCAGACUAAUGACAUUUAAUAGGGGCUGAGCUGGGGAUGGGACUAGGGCUGGGGAUGGGACUAGGUCUGAGCUGGGGAUGGGACUAGGGCUGGGGAUGGGACUAGGUCUGAGCUGGGGAUGGGACUAGAGCUGGGGAUGGGACUAGGGCUGGGGAUGGGACUAGGGCUGGGGAUGGGACUAGGGCUGGGGAUGGGACUAGGGCUGGGGAUGGGACUAGGGCUGGGGAUGGGACUAGGUCUGAGCUGGGGAUGGGACUAGAGCUGGGGAUGGGACUAGGGCUGGGGAUGGGACUAGGUCUGAACUGGGGAUGGGACUAGGGCUGGGGAUGGGACUAGAGCUGGGGAUGGGACUAGGGCUAAACUGGGGAUGGGACUAGGUCUGAGCUGGGGAUGGGACUAGGGCUGAGGAUGGGACUAGGGUUGAGCUGGGGAUGGGACUAGGGCUGGGGAUGGGACUAGGUCUGAGCUGGGGAUGGGACUAGGACUGGGGAUGGGACUAGGUCUGAGCUGGGGAUGGUCCUAGGUCUGGGGAUGGGACUAGGGCUGGGACUAGGUCUGAGCUGGUGAUGGGACUAGGACUGGGGAUGGGACUAGGGCUGAGCUGGGGAUGGGACUAGGGCUGAGCUGGGGAUGGGACUAGGUCUGAGCUGGGGAUGGGACUAGGGCUGAGCUGGGGAUGGGACUAAGGCUGAGCUGGGGAUGGGACUAGGGCUGAGCUGGGGAUGGGACUAAGGCUGAGCUGGGGAUGGGACUAGGGCUGGGGAUGGGACUAGGGCUGAGCUGGGGAUGGGACUAGGGCUGGGGAUGGGACUAGUGCUGAGCUGGGGAUGGGACUAGAGCUGGGGAUGGGACUAGGGCUGGGGGGAUGGGACUAG